This 758-nucleotide ribosomal RNA is filed under the name Paracraurococcus ruber. Its description in RNAcentral is "bacterial SSU rRNA". It matches the Rfam family "Bacterial small subunit ribosomal RNA", at positions 629 to 1386 of the family's 1533-position model. Lineage: Bacteria; Pseudomonadati; Pseudomonadota; Alphaproteobacteria; Acetobacterales; Roseomonadaceae. The record is from RNAcentral.
GGUACGGGCAGACUAGAGUGCGGUAGGGGAGACUGGAAUUCCUGGUGUAGCGGUGAAAUGCGCAGAUAUCAGGAGGAACACCGGUGGCGAAGGCGGGUCUCUGGGCCGUAACUGACGCUGAGGAGCGAAAGCGUGGGGAGCGAACAGGAUUAGAUACCCUGGUAGUCCACGCCGUAAACGUUGGGCGCUAGGUGUGGGGCUCUUUCCACGAGUUCCGUGCCGCAGCAAACGCAUUAAGCGCCCCGCCUGGGGAGUACGGCCGCAAGGCUAAAACUCAAAGGAAUUGACGGGGGCCCGCACAAGCGGCGGAGCAUGCGGAUUAAUUCGAUGCAACGCGAAGAACCUUACCAAGGCUUGACAUGGGCAGUAAUCCGGCAGAGAUGUCGGGUCCGUAAGGGCUGUUCACAGGUGGUGCAUGGUUGUCGUCAGCUCGUGUCGUGAGAUGUUGGGUUAAGUCCCGCAACGAGCGCAACCCUCGUUCCAUGUUGCCAGCACGUAAUGGUGGGGACUCAUGGGAGACUGCCGGGGUCAACUCGGAGGAAGGUGGGGAUGACGUCAAAUCAUCAUGCCCCUUAUGUCUUGGGCUUCACGCAUGCUACAAUGGCCAGUACAAAGGGCUGCGAGACCGUAAGGUGGAGCGAAUCCCAAAAAGCUGGUCUCAGUUCGGAUCGGGGUCUGCAACUCGACCCCGUGAAGUCGGAGUCGCUAGUAAUCGCAGAUCAGCAACGCUGCGGUGAAUACGUUCCCGGGCCUUGUAC